RNAcentral lists this transfer RNA (72 nucleotides) under Bos taurus (domestic cattle). It matches the Rfam family "tRNA". Rfam says of the family: Transfer RNA (tRNA) molecules are approximately 80 nucleotides in length. Lineage: Eukaryota; Metazoa; Chordata; Mammalia; Artiodactyla; Bovidae. The record is from Rfam by way of RNAcentral. RNAcentral also lists the same sequence under 5 other names.
UCCUUGAUGGCUCAGUUGGUAAAGAAUCCACCUGCAAUGCAGGAGACCCUGGUUCAAUUCCUGGUUUGGGAA